This 4215-nucleotide long non-coding RNA is filed under the name Coffea arabica (coffee). RNAcentral describes it as "long non-coding RNA (CARA_LNC004018)". Lineage: Eukaryota; Viridiplantae; Streptophyta; Magnoliopsida; Gentianales; Rubiaceae. The record is from RNAcentral.
GUUCUGCCUUUAGAGCUAUUGCAACAGUUCAAGUCUUCAGAUUUUCCUAAUCAGCUGGAAUACGAGGCAUGGCAGAAGAGGAACCUGAAGAUACUCGAGGCUGGUCUGCUCUUGCAUCCCCAUCUUCCGCUGGAUAACAGAGACAGCUCUGCUCAACAACUUCGCCAGAUCAUUCGUGGGGCUUCUGAAAAACCUAUGGAGACCGGGAAGCACAGUCAGUCAAUCCAAGCCCUUCGCAAUGUGGUAAUGUCGCUUGCCUGCAGAUCAUUUGAUGGGUCUGGCUCUGGGAUGUGCCACUGGGCUGACGGUGUUCCACUGAAUUUUCAUCUCUACCGAAUACUUCUUGAAUCUUGCUUCGAUGUGGGUGAUGAAACUGCUGUCAUUGAUGAAGUUGAUGAGGUUUUAGAACUCAUCAAAAAGACUUGGAUCAUCCUUGGUAUAAACGAGAAUUUGCACAAUCUUUGCUUAGCAUGGGUUUUGUUCAGUCGAUAUAUUGCCUCUGGGCAAGUUGGAAAUGAUCUGCUUUUUGCCACUGAUAGUCUGUUGCUGGAAGUUGAAAAGGAUGCAAAGGAUCUUAAGGACCCAGCUUACCGGAAAAUACUGAGUUCUACAAUGAGCUUGAUUUUGAGUUGGGCAGAGAAACAACUUCUUGCUUACCAUGAGAACUUUUACGGGAGUAACAUUGAUAUAAUGGAGAAUGUUCUGUCACUGGCCAUAUCUGCUGCCAGAGUACUUGCGGCAGAUGGUUCUCAGGCGAACCAUAGAAAAUGGAAAGAACUUGAUGUAGCAUGUGGUAGAGUUGACUCUUACAUCCGAUCAUCUCUGCAGCGUGCAUUUUCUCAGGCAAGUUUAGAUUUUUCCUGCUUUUGUUAGGUACUAAAACGCAUGAAAUAGAGUUGGUCAAUUUUUGCACUCCAAAGUUAAAAAGAAGUUGAUCCAUUGAAUUUCCUCCUGGAUGAAGUUUUGCAAAGAAAUAUCUUUUUCCACUAGAUUAAUUUCGAUCAUUGUUUGUCAAUUUUACUAGUUGCUUCAGUGUUCUGGCUGCAGUAAAUCCUAUAUGGGUCCCCCAUCAUAAAAUAUUCGCUCCUUUUCAUGGCCUAAGAUGAGUAUAAUAAAUCAUUGGCUUCACACGUGUUGUCAUCUUUGCACAUUCCAUUUGAUUUUGCCUAAAAGUUACUCAAUUUUGUUCUAUUUGCUAUACCUGAAGACAGGAAAAAGAGAAGAUAAUCUCAAGUAGGAAGACUGCGAAGAACCAGCAGCAUUCUCUUCCCAUGCUAUCUGUGCUUGCCCAGAAUAUAACAGAUCUGGCUUUUAACGAGAAGGAAAUAUUCAGUCCAAUACUCAAGCGAUGGCACCCUCUUGCAACUGGUGUUGCAGCCGCAAAGCUUCAUGCUUGUUACGGAAAUGAGCUGAAGCAAUUUGUUUCUGGUAUAACAGAGCUGACUCCUGAUGCUGUACUAGUGCUGAUAGCUUCUGACAAAUUGGAAAAAAAUCUUGUACAGAUGGCCGUUGCAGAUUCUGUGGACAGUGAUGAUGGUGGGAAAGCAAUAAUUCAAGAGAUGACUCCUUAUGAAGCUGAAUCUGUCAUUGCUAACCUGGUAAAAUCAUGGAUAAAGACAAGGGUGGAUAGACUCCAGGAAUGGGUUGAGAGAAAUCUGCAACAAGAGGUCUUUAAUCUCUCAUUCGUUUUAUGACUCCAUGUCUCUGUUUGAUUGGCAUCAUUAGUUAUCGUUAGCUUGUUGAUCACAUCCUGGCACUAAAAUUAAAUUCUCCACAAAAAAUUCUGAUUGUCGAGGGACUAUGUGAUGGUUAGUCAGAUGGCUUAGUCUAUAUGUGAUUCAUUUGGGCUACUUUUCUUGUGCAAGGAUGUCUUGUCUUUGUCUGGUUUCUUCUUUAUUUGUUUGAUGUUAGCUGCGUUUUGAUGCACAAAUUUUAUACGUUAUACUCCUAAGCACAUGGGAGUGAGUAAUUGCAUUACAGACAGAUAAAAAGGAACAGCUGCAUGGAUGAAAUUUCCCUUGUGCCUCCACUCCUAGCAUUCAUUAUAAGAAGAUGUAAGUUAGGAUGUUGAUUUAGGACAAGGUAUACGUGGUACUGUCAAAUUGAGUUUUUGUAUCCUCACCAAAUUUGGUUCAGAGUACCCAACUUCCCUUAUCCUGAUCCCCAGGGCAGAAAAAAGGAAAAAAGUAAUGGCUCAUUUUAGGUUAGCUUCUCAAUAGUUAAAGAUAUUCUGUCGUUGAAAAAUGAAACAUCUGGUUAGCCAGAACUGCAGGACUUAAGAUUAUUUGCCUCUUGUAACAGGUCUGGAACCCUCGUGCAAACAAAGAGCGAUUUGCUCCCUCUGCAGUGGAGGUUCUUCGCAUUAUUGAUGAAACUUUGGAAGCAUUCUUCCUGUUGCCAAUAGCAACACAUCAAAUUUUGAUUCCUGAUUUGAUGAAUGGUUUGGAUGCCUGCCUCCAGAAUUACAUAAUAAAGUCAAAAUCUGGCUGUGGUAAGUAUCAUAUAGGCUGGAAAAAGGUAUCUGAAUUAACCAAUCAAAUUAUUUCUUUCUGAAUUUAAUUUAUACAUGUAUCUGCAGGAUCUAAAGAUACUUUUCUUCCUCCUCUACCUGCUUUGACAAGAUGUACUGCUGGCUCAAAGUUUGGUGUAUUUAAGAAGAAAGAUAGAUCAUAUAUGGUUCAAGUAAGGAAAUCUCAAGUUGGCUCUAGUGAUGUGGAUGACUACUUUGGUAUACCAAAGCUAUGUGUUCGCAUAAAUACCAUGCAUCUCAUCCGGAAAGAGGUGGAAGUCUUGGAGAAGAGGAUAACCUCUAAUUUGACAAAUAGUGGUUAUGUUCAAGAUAGUAUUGUGACAGUUGGGUCAGAUAAAAUGUUUGAGCUUUCAGUAGCAGCUUGUGUGGAGGGGAUCCAGCAACUCUCUGAAGCAACUGCCUAUAGGAUCAUCUUUCACAAUCUGAACCAUGUUUCUUGGGAUUACCUGUAUGUGGGGCAGGUCUCAUCAGCCAGGAUUGAACCAUUUCUUCAACUGCUAGAGCAGAAUUUAGAAAUUGUAUCAGCAACGGUGCACGACAGGGUCCGGACUCGCGUAAUUACACAAAUAAUGAAAGCCUCUUUUGAUGGGUUCUUGUUGGUUUUGCUUGCUGGGGGCCCUUCUCGUGCUUUCACUGUGCAGGAUGCUGCAGUAUUAGACGAGGACUUUAGGUUUCUUAUGGAGCUAUUCUGGUCCGAUGGGGAUGGAUUACCGACUGAUUUAAUAGACAAGUAUUCAGCCGCUUCAAAGGACGUCCUUUCACUUUUUCAUACUGAAACUGUAAAACUUGUUGAGCAAUACAAAAUUGUGACUCUUAAUAGGUAUGGAGCUUCAGACAAUUCCAGGCUUCCACUACCACCAACUUCAGGUCAGUGGAGCGCUGCUGACCCUAACACAAUUCUUCGAGUUUUAUGUCAUCGAAAUGAUGAGGUAGCUACAAAGUUUUUAAAGAAGACCUAUCAUUUCCCAAAGAAGCUGUGAGAGAGAUUUCAAGGAGGUGAUGCAAAUGUAGAAUUUUACCAGGCAUCAGCAGUUCCUCUUAUUUACUUGUAAUGACAUUGAUCGACCUCACUACUAUAAGAAGCAGAUUUUUCUUGCAUAGAGUAUCCAUGGGAGAUUCUUUCUCAUCAAAGCAAUUACCACAUAGAUCCUAACAGAAUCUUUCAUCGAUAGAAUCAUGGGGCUUGCUCUUUGGUAUAUUGUAUAUAAGAGUUCGGACUUCCAGUUUCAGACAAUAUUUGAAGUCCUCGACUGCUGCUGAGACGACGGAAGAUAACUGCACAAGCUGGUAACACAGUUGUAUCUCCUAAAUCGCAAGUCUAUCACCUUACUGAGCUUUGCCUAGAAAGGAAGUUCAAAUUUGCUGUACAGAGAGAGAUGUUACAACGCAGGUUGGAUUUUGACUUGUUUUUAUAGUCUACAUGUGGAACUGCUUGAAGCUGAAAUUUUUAUGCCACAUGCAUUUACUAAAAGAUAUUCUAGAGUUACUGAGGCUUGCUGAAUAAAUGGAUUGCUAUCAUUCUUUGAUUUUGUGGUUCAAGUCGUUCUCAGUUCAAAAGGUAUGAAUACUGAGUAGUUGAUGAUGAAAUGGAAGACUGCCGUUGUUGUUGGUGUUGCUGUUGUCAUACUCUGUCCCUUCGGCUUAUUUCCUUGUUCUUCCUGUCCUACAAACUUCUUCGUUGAUAC